RNAcentral lists this ribosomal RNA (241 nucleotides) under Klebsiella variicola. RNAcentral's name for it is "partial 23S ribosomal RNA". It matches the Rfam family "Bacterial large subunit ribosomal RNA", at positions 1 to 233 of the family's 2925-position model. The record is from RNAcentral. Lineage: Bacteria; Pseudomonadati; Pseudomonadota; Gammaproteobacteria; Enterobacterales; Enterobacteriaceae.
GGGUUGUGAGGUUAAGCGACUAAGCGUACACGGUGGAUGCCCUGGCAGUCAGAGGCGAUGAAGGACGUGCUAAUCUGCGAAAAGCGUCGGUAAGGUGAUAUGAACCGUUAUAACCGGCGAUGUCCGAAUGGGGAAACCCAGUGUGAUUCGUCACACUAUCGUUAACUGAAUACAUAGGUUAACGAGGCGAACCGGGGGAACUGAAACAUCUAAGUACCCCGAGGAAAAGAAAUCAACCGAG